RNAcentral lists this ribosomal RNA (1186 nucleotides) under metagenome. Its description in RNAcentral is "SSU rRNA". It matches the Rfam family "Eukaryotic small subunit ribosomal RNA", at positions 582 to 1790 of the family's 1831-position model. The record is from RNAcentral.
AUUCCAGCUCCAAUAGCGUAUAUUAUUAUUGUUGCGGUUAAAAAGCUCGUAGUUGGAUCUCGGUUUCGGGCGAGCGGUGUACCUUGCGGUAUUUACUGUUUGCCCGGACGAUUUUGUUGGUUCGUUUAUGGUUCUCUUAACCGAGUGCCAUAAGUGGCCAGCACGUUUACUUUGAAAAAAUUGGAGUGCUCAAAGCAGGCGCUACAGCCUGAACAUUAGUGCAUGGAAUAAUGGAAUAGGAUCUCGGUUCUAUUUCGUUGGCUUUCGGAGUCGAGGUAAUGAUUAAUAGGGACAGACGGGGGCAUUCGUACUGCGACGUUAGAGGUGAAAUUCUUGGAUCGUCGCAAGACGAACUACUGCGAAAGCAUUUGCCAAGAAUGUUUUCAUUAAUCAAGAACGAAAGUUAGAGGUUCGAAGGCGAUCAGAUACCGCCCUAGUUCUAACCAUAAACGAUGUCGACCGGCGAUCCGUUAUCGUUAACUGAAUGACUUAACGGGCAGCCUCCGGGAAACCAGAGUGUUUGGAUUCCGGGGGAAGUAUGGUUGCAAAGCUGAAACUUAAAAGAAUUGACGGAAGGGCACCACCAGGAGUGGAGCCUGCGGCUUAAUUUGACUCAACACGGGAAAUCUCACCAGGCCCGGACACCGGAAGGAUUGACAGAUUGAGAGCUCUUUCUUGAUUCGGUGGGUGGUGGUGCAUGGCCGUUCUUAGUUGGUGGAGCGAUUUGUCUGGUUAAUUCCGAUAACGAACGAGACUCUGGCCUACUAACUAGACGUUAGAUCCCUUUGUGGGUCUAUCGCAGCUUCUUAGAGGGACGGGCGGCGUUUAGCCGCACGAGAUUGAGCAAUAACAGGUCUGUGAUGCCCUUAGAUGUUCUGGGCUGCACGCGCGCUACACUGAAGGAAUCAGCGUGUGUUCCCUACCCGAAAGGGUUGGGAAACCCGUUGAACCUCCUUCGUGAUGGGGAUUGGGGAUUGCAAUUAUUCCCCAUGAACGAGGAAUUCCCAGUAGGCGCGAGUCAUAAGCUUGCGUCGAUUACGUCCCUGCCCUUUGUACACACCGCCCGUCGCUACUACCGAUCGAGUGAUUUAGUGAGGCCUUCGGACUGGUCUUCAGUAUGGCUUUCGGGUCGUGUUGGAGUACCGGAAAGAUGACCAAACUUGAUCACUUAGAGGAAGUAAAAGUC